RNAcentral lists this transfer RNA (57 nucleotides) under Synodontis sp. TT-2020. RNAcentral describes it as "partial tRNA-Thr". It matches the Rfam family "tRNA", at positions 1 to 56 of the family's 71-position model. Rfam says of the family: Transfer RNA (tRNA) molecules are approximately 80 nucleotides in length. Their secondary structure includes four short double-helical elements and three loops (D, anti-codon, and T loops). The record is from RNAcentral. Lineage: Eukaryota; Metazoa; Chordata; Actinopteri; Siluriformes; Mochokidae.
GCCCUAGUAGCUUAGACAUAAAGCGCCGGUCUUGUAAUCCGGAGACCGAAGGUUAAA